GUGUGUGUGUUUUAAUUAAGACUACUGUACCUGUAAGACGGUUGGCUCCACAGGCUUGAUAUACAAACAAAUGAGUAGAAGAAUUCCAGGCUAGGAAUCCUCUUUUGUUCUCUUGGCUCUUCUUCUUUGUUGAGUUGAUUUUAUUUCAACUCAAUAACAUAUGUUUGGAUUCAGUCCCCUUUGUUCUGUUUUAAAUGGUCCUCCAGAUUAGAAAGCUACAUUUGAGUUUUCCCUCUUUGUCGUCCUCCCCGCCUCGGUAUGGAUUGUUCUUAGGAUAGAAUUCCAGUUUCUUGCGCUCUCUCUUUCUUUUCCUCAAUUCCUUUCUCUCUGUCCACUGUAGAAUUCUUGUCAACCUUUAGAUAAACUGUCCUCCCUUAAAUCUUUAACUCAGUUGAUACAUUUAAUAAGUCUAUCCCUACAUCUAGAGUUUGUUUAUCCUUUCUCCCUCUUUUCUAUUACAAUGCAGUUCUUUCUCUUCUCAAUAACUUCCAGAUGUGACUGUGUUGUUGCCGCUCUCUAUUCUCUCUCGCUCGCUCCCCCUCCUCCCCUCAUUAUUUUUGCCGUCCCUCCUCCAUCGCCUCUUCCUCCUCACCCCCAUCCCCUUACUCACAACAUAUCUCUCUCUCGCCCUCCCUUCCUCUCUCACACUCAUUCUCCCUCUCUAAACAAACAUUCUCUGUCAGAUUAUCCUAUUCAGCAGAGAGACAUUUAAGGCAUUCAUUUGCCAUAGAAACAGUUUUUUCUCUUCCUUUUCCUCUGAUUCUGUUGUAUGCACCCCCCUCCCCCCAACACACACACACACACACACACACUUCCUCCCCUUCCUGAACAAAUGGUCGAGGGAGGUUGAGGGGUGUAGUGGAGUUAUGACCAGGAUAAAAUAUAACAUUUUGGCUUACGUACGUAACAUGUCCUACCAAGGACAUUGCCUUUACAGUGAUCAAUCUUAGUAAAAGUGCUUGUUGUUAUAUCUAGGUUUCAUGUGUGAUCACAUCACAUGACAUUCCCUGAUUUAGC
This 1017-nucleotide long non-coding RNA is filed under the name Salmo salar (Atlantic salmon). Its description in RNAcentral is "lncRNA (ENSSSAG00000086723.1)". Lineage: Eukaryota; Metazoa; Chordata; Actinopteri; Salmoniformes; Salmonidae. The record is from RNAcentral.